RNAcentral lists this long non-coding RNA (1627 nucleotides) under Citrus x clementina. RNAcentral's name for it is "Citrus clementina (C. clementina) long non-coding RNA (CCLE_LNC000970)". Lineage: Eukaryota; Viridiplantae; Streptophyta; Magnoliopsida; Sapindales; Rutaceae. The record is from RNAcentral.
CCCAAUGAUGAAAAGAAAAGCCAUACAUCUAGCAAAUCAUUAGAUGUUGCAACUAAACCAAGUUGUAGUUUAUGUGUAAAGCAAUAUAUAUAAUAUGCAUAUAGACAGUCUUUCAAAAGUAAUGCUUGCAAUCCAUUCCAUGCACCCCGCUUGCUACUAGCACCUUCUUACCCUUGCCCUCAGAUAUCUUCAGUUAAAAAAUCAUAUUCCACAAGGACAUUACAUAUUUCUUUUUCAAUGUUACUACUGUAGUUUCCAAGACAUUGACAACCUCAAAAAAAAAAAUGUUAUUGAAUACACCAUAUGCUAGUUAUCAGAUUCAUCAAGUACUUUGUCUACUAAAGUACAAAACUUAUCAUCUCCAAGUUCCUUACGUAUCUUGUUUUGCACUUUGCAAGAAUAUUUAAAAGCUCAUUUUGAAUAUCAGAUGAUGUAUACUUAGCAUAUGAUGGAGCAUUUUUUAAGACAACUUCAACAUUUUCUUUACUAAAUUUUGCUGAAUGCUUUAUCAUCUCUAUGGAAAUUCCUCAAUUUUUUGAUUUAACUAAUUCAUCAUGACCUCUAGAAGUACAAGCUUGCUUUCCUAACCAUCUAACAACAAAAAUUGAGGUCUUCAACCGUAAACUAUCUCUAAAACUUGUUAGCAUUUAUUAACCUAUCAAUGUGUUGAAUUGGGUUCCUUAAGUAGCCCCAACUUUGCAUAUUCUUAUUAUGAUGAGCAUGAAAACCCCCUUCAUACUUUAAAAAGGGGGACCUUUUUUCCACUAUUGACUCUCUUCUAACUUGAAAACCUUCAAUAACGAAUGCACUAUCUUUUACCUCAAAGUACUCAAGCCAUAGAAAUUUUUUGAACUAAUGAUACUGAAAUCUAAAUUCUUGUAUGCCAUCAUUAAUUAGUGGAUAAUCCGUAGUUUAGGCUGACAUGGUUCCAUCUUGAUGUACUCCCUUUGAAUAUCAUUACAUUGCCCUUUUUAAUGACGUAAUCCAAGAUCAUGUUCUAGAUAAGUAUUCUAAUUUCUUCAAUGUCAAACCUUUGAGACAUAAAAGUGUAUUGCCCACUAGAAUUUGGCGUACUAACUUGAGAUAGAGACAAAGACUUGGUGAAUGAUUGAUUGUCACCUACUCUCUCGAAAAAAUAAAUUUUUUUGGCUAGUUUAGCAUUGAAUCUAUAAUAAUAACCCAUUAAAGAAUUAUUAAUUAUUUUAGGGAAAAUAUCCACCGUCCACCCGUUUUUUCAAUUUUUUCAAAAAUACACAAUUUUUUUUUUAUUGGAAUCCACCUAAACUUACAUUUUGUUUCACUUUUCUACUUCCGUUUGGAAUCCGCUAAGAAAACUAACAGAAACUUUAAAAAAUGACAAUUUUACCCCCAAAACGAAAAUUACAAUUUCAACCUAAAAAAUACCAAAAAUAAUUAGAUUUAAUGAUUAAUAUCAUUAUUUGUACGUUAAUGAUGCACAAAAAAAAUCUUAACUACUAGAGAUUAUAACUCAAUAAAUAAUAAAACUGUACUUAUCUUAAAUUCAAUUAAUGGUUUGCGAGAUUUAGCUAUUUUUAAUACUAUUGUUAUAAUUUAGCAUUCUAAUUACAGACAUAUUUAAAAAAAAAACCCCGUAUUUGAUGGUUGU